AAGGGACCCCAGGGAGGUAGCCCCUUCUACCAUGUGUGGACACAGCAAGAAGGCAGCAUCUAUAAGCUAGGAAGGAGGCCCUCACCAGACUUGGAAUCUGCUGGCUUCCUGAUCUUGGCCUUUCUAGCCUCCAGAACUAUGGGUGAAAGCUGUGGAAGAAUACAGACUGACCAGGAACCCCACCCUAAGGAAGAGACCAUAAUCACCAUGAGUGUGGGGACCAUGACGAUUAUUUUACAAAUCUUCAGCUUCUGGCUCAAUACAGGAUGUGAAGUUAAUGCUCAAUAAAUCUGUAACGGUAGAGUUAACGAAUGAAAA
RNAcentral lists this long non-coding RNA (318 nucleotides) under Homo sapiens (human). RNAcentral's name for it is "HSALNT0374222". The record is from RNAcentral. Lineage: Eukaryota; Metazoa; Chordata; Mammalia; Primates; Hominidae.